AAAGAGUAUGAGGAAAAACUGUCCAAAGUUAAAGAAAGCUAUGCCGCUUCGGAGGCCAAACUCAAAGAGAAUGCUGCUGCCCAGGCUGAGAAACUCUCCAAGCUAUCCGAGGAGAAGGAUGAAGCGGUACAGUCUGUAGGGACCUUAGCUGAUGAGAAAGCUAGAUUGGAGAGUGAUGUCACAGAGCUUCAGCUCUAUGCCGCCAACCAAUAUGACGAGGGCUUUUCUUU
RNAcentral lists this long non-coding RNA (230 nucleotides) under Trifolium pratense (red clover). RNAcentral describes it as "long non-coding RNA (TPRA_LNC009735)". Lineage: Eukaryota; Viridiplantae; Streptophyta; Magnoliopsida; Fabales; Fabaceae. The record is from RNAcentral.